GACGAACGCUGGCGGCGUGCUUAACACAUGCAAGUCGAACGGAAAGGCCCUGCUUUUGUGGGGUGCUCGAGUUGCGAACUGGUGAGUAACACGUGAGUAACCUGCCCUUGACUUUGGGAUAACUUCAUGAAACUUGGUCUAAUACCGGAUAGGAGCUCCUGCUGCAUGGUGGGGGUUGGAAAGUUUCGGCGGUUGGGGAUGGACUCGCGGCUUAUCAGCUUGUUGGUGGGGUAGUGGCUUACCAAGGCUUUGACGGGUAGCCGGCCUGAGAGGGUGACCGGCCACAUUGGGACUGAGAUACGGCACAGACUACUACGGGAGGCAGCAGUGGGGAAUAUUGCACAAUGGGCGGAAGCCUGAUGCAGCAACGCCGCGUGCGGGAUGACGGCCUUCGGGUUGUAAACCGCUUUCGCCUGUGACGAAGCGUGAGUGACGGUAAUGGGUAAAGAAGCACCGGCUAACUACGUG
This 468-nucleotide ribosomal RNA is filed under the name uncultured bacterium. Its description in RNAcentral is "partial 16S ribosomal RNA". It matches the Rfam family "Bacterial small subunit ribosomal RNA", at positions 28 to 507 of the family's 1533-position model. The record is from RNAcentral.